This 254-nucleotide ribosomal RNA is filed under the name uncultured bacterium. Its description in RNAcentral is "partial 16S ribosomal RNA". It matches the Rfam family "Bacterial small subunit ribosomal RNA", at positions 524 to 776 of the family's 1533-position model. The record is from RNAcentral.
CACGUAGGGAGCAAGCGUUGUCCGGAUUUCUUGGGCGUAAAGAGCUCGUAGGUGGUUCGGUAAGUCAGGUGUGAAACCUCCAGGCUCAACCUGGAGACGCCACUUGAUACUGCUGUGACUGGAGUCCGGUAGGGGAGCGUGGAAUUCCUGGUGUAGCGGUGAAAUGCGCAGAUAUCAGGAGGAACACCGAUGGCGAAGGCAGGUCUCUGGGCCACUACUGACGCUGAGAAGCGAAAGCGUGGGGAGCGAACAGG